AGAGUUUGAUCCUGGCUCAGAUUGAACGCUGGCGGAAUGCUUUACACAUGCAAGUCGAACGGCAGCACGGGGGCAACCCUGGUGGCGAGUGGCGAACGGGUGAGUAAUACAUCGGAACGUGCCCAGUCGUGGGGGAUAACGUAGCGAAAGCUACGCUAAUACCGCAUACGAACUCUGGUUGAAAGCGGGGGACUCGCAAGAGCCUCGCGCGAUUGGAGCGGCCGAUGGCAGAUUAGGUAGUUGGUGGGGUAAAGGCUCACCAAGCCGACGAUCUGUAGCUGGUCUGAGAGGACGACCAGCCACACUGGGACUGAGACACGGCCCAGACUCCUACGGGAGGCAGCAGUGGGGAAUUUUGGACAAUGGGCGCAAGCCUGAUCCAGCCAUUCCGCGUGCAGGAUGAAGGCCCUCGGGUUGUAAACUGCUUUUGUACGGAACGAAAAGCGCUGAGUUAAUACCUCGGCGUCAUGACGGUACCGUAAGAAUAAGCACCGGCUAACUACGUGCCAGCAGCCGCGGUAAUACGUAGGGUGCAAGCGUUAAUCGGAAUUACUGGGCGUAAAGCGUGCGCAGGCGGUUAUGUAAGACAGGUGUGAAAUCCCAGGGCUUAACCUUGGAACUGCAUUUGUGACUGCAUAGCUAGAGUACGGUAGAGGGGGAUGGAAUUCCGCGUGUAGCAGUGAAAUGCGUAGAUAUGCGGAGGAACACCGAUGGCGAAGGCAAUCCCCUGGACCUGUACUGACGCUCAUGCACGAAAGCGUGGGGAGCAAACAGGAUUAGAUACCCUAGUAGUCC
This 795-nucleotide ribosomal RNA is filed under the name uncultured bacterium. RNAcentral describes it as "bacterial SSU rRNA". It matches the Rfam family "Bacterial small subunit ribosomal RNA", at positions 8 to 796 of the family's 1533-position model. The record is from RNAcentral.